Molecule: ribosomal RNA, 502 nt
Filed under: uncultured microorganism
Description: bacterial SSU rRNA
Rfam family: Bacterial small subunit ribosomal RNA
Source: RNAcentral
GAUGAACGCUGGCGGCGUGCCUAAUACAUGCAAGUCGAACGAGGAAUGAUAAGUAAGCUUGCUUACAUAUCAAACUUAGUGGCGAACGGGUGAGUAAUACAUAAAUAACCUGCCUCAAUGCCUGGGAUAACAGUUGGAAACGACUGCUAAUACCGGAUAGGUUACACUAGGGCAUCCUAGAGUAAUUAAAGAUGGGCUACAUCACAAUGAGAUGGAUUUAUGGCGCAUUAGUUAGUUGGUGGGGUAACGGCCUACCAAGACGAUGAUGCGUAGCCGGCCUGAGAGGGUGACCGGCCACACUGGGACUGAGACACGGCCCAGACUCCUACGGGAGGCAGCAGUAGGGAAUUUUCGGCAAUGGGGGAAACCCUGACCGAGCGACGCCGCGUGAGUGAAGAAGGCCUUCGGGUUGUAAAGCUCUGUUGUAAGGGAAGAAAUGCACUGAGAGGGAAUGCUUGGUGUUUGACGGUACCUUACCAGAAAGCCACGGCUAACUACGUGC